This is a non-coding RNA of Pelobates cultripes (western spadefoot toad), 453 nucleotides long. The record is from the annotation of a GenBank genome assembly. Lineage: Eukaryota; Metazoa; Chordata; Amphibia; Anura; Pelobatidae.
CACCAUCAACACUGUAGUCCCCACUUCCAGCGUUACAGCUUGGCUGGGGUCUCUCCGUCCUCCACCCACCCUGGACCAGGAUCCAGCUUCCAGUGGGCAGACCUCUCCUACUCCAGAGAGCGUAGCAGGCUGCUCUUACAAGAGCAAGUGAUUGUAACCAAGAGGUAUAGCAAUCCCCUGGGUAGAUACAGCCGUCCCCUCCCUCCCACAUAUGAAAUGAGGCUCUAUGUUAAGGGUAAAACAGGAACUACUUUAAUGGGAGCCACAACUAGCCUUAUAUGCAAGUCCCCAUGCAAGGUGCACUCCCCCCUGGACCUGAGAGUAAACCACGGUAUAAACAAUUACACAACCACAUUGGCUGUCAGAUCCAGGACACUCCCAUACAUAAUCAGAUAAUCCCUCCUCUGUGCCUGGGAGAUAACUGAGUCAUGGACUGUACUAACCCAAUUAUCU